Molecule: ribosomal RNA, 379 nt
Filed under: uncultured eukaryote
Lineage: Eukaryota
Description: partial 18S ribosomal RNA
Rfam family: Eukaryotic small subunit ribosomal RNA
Source: RNAcentral
CAAUAGCGUAUAUUAAAGUUGCUGCAGUUAAAAAGCUCGUAGUUGCAUUUCCGAGGCAAGGGAUUAGUCCGACCUUUGGUGGGUAUUUAAUCCUCUUGCCUCGUCCUUGAGUGGUGCUUCUUGGUAUUAAGUUAUCGAGGAGAUAGCCGCUCAUCGUUUACUGUGAGAAAAUUAGAGUGUUCAAAGCAGGCUUAUGCCGUUGAAUAUAUUAGCAUGGAAUAAUAAGAUAGGACCUCGGUACUAUUUUGUUGGUUUGAGAACCAAGGUAAUGAUGAAUAGGGACAGUUGGGGUAUUCGUAUUCAGUUGUCAGAGGUGAAAUUCUUAGAUUUACGGAAGACGAACUACUGCGAAAGCAUUUACCAAGGAUGUUUUCAUUAA